UGGUGGAGUGAUUUGUCUGGUUAAUUCCGUUAACGAACGAGACCUUGACCUGCUAAAUAGUUACAUGUAAUUUCGAUUAUGUGGGCAACUUCUUAGAGGGACUUUGUGUGUAUAAUGCAAGGAAGUUUGAGGCAAUAACA
Molecule: ribosomal RNA, 140 nt
Filed under: uncultured eukaryote
Lineage: Eukaryota
Description: partial 18S ribosomal RNA
Rfam family: Eukaryotic small subunit ribosomal RNA
Source: RNAcentral